This 254-nucleotide ribosomal RNA is filed under the name uncultured bacterium. RNAcentral's name for it is "partial 16S ribosomal RNA". It matches the Rfam family "Bacterial small subunit ribosomal RNA", at positions 524 to 776 of the family's 1533-position model. The record is from RNAcentral.
UACGGAGGGUGCAAGCGUUGUCCGGAAUCACUGGGCGUAAAGGGCGCGUAGGCGGCUAUGUAAGUCACUUGUGAAAUCCCCGGGCUCAACCUGGGAAUUGCGUUGGAGACUGCAAGGCUAGAAUCUGGCAGAGGGGGGUAGAAUUCCACGUGUAGCAGUGAAAUGCGUAGAGAUGUGGAGGAACACCGAUGGCGAAGGCAGCCCCCCUGGGUCAAGAUUGACGCUCAUGCACGAAAGCGUGGGGAGCAAACAGG